This 255-nucleotide ribosomal RNA is filed under the name uncultured bacterium. RNAcentral's name for it is "partial 16S ribosomal RNA". It matches the Rfam family "Archaeal small subunit ribosomal RNA", at positions 474 to 727 of the family's 1478-position model. The record is from RNAcentral.
UACCAGCACCCCGAGUGGUCGGGACGUUUUAUUGGGCCUAAAGCAUCCGUAGCCGGUUCUACAAGUCUUCCGUUAAAUCCACCUGCUCAACAGAUGGGCUGCGGAAGAUACUAUGGAGCUAGGAGGCGGGAGAGGCAAGCGGUACUCGAUGGGUAGGGGUAAAAUCCGUUGAUCCAUUGAAGACCACCAGUGGCGAAGGCGGCUUGCCAGAACGCGCUCGACGGUGAGGGAUGAAAGCUGGGGGGAGCAAACCGG